RNAcentral lists this long non-coding RNA (999 nucleotides) under Equus caballus (horse). RNAcentral's name for it is "lncRNA (ENSECAG00000053410.1)". The record is from RNAcentral. Lineage: Eukaryota; Metazoa; Chordata; Mammalia; Perissodactyla; Equidae.
GAUGAGCAUCAGGGCCAUCUGAAGACCAGGUGUUUCCCAUAUUGAAGUAGAGUCAGGCUUUUUAUAGCAGAGAGGAAAGUUGCCUACGAGUGAUUUUGUCUUGACAGAAAUUUUCAGCUUCGAAACUUGAGAUUCAGGUUGAUGACUGUCAUAUGAGAACUUUUAAGGACUGCUAAGAUGAAAUUUUGGAACAGAAUGUCUGCAGGAUUUCAAGGUGUGAAGGACACACUCUUUAGAAGCUUCUUGACUAUUUUCCCCCGAUGAACAUCACUGCUUUCUGUCAGCCAAGUCCUUUGAGAUCAAUAUCUCUGUAUGUGACUAUUGCCUGUAGUCUUCACACAAAUGAGAUUACACACAUACACACAUGCACACUGCACAAGAAAACUCAAGCUCUUUGUUAGAAGAUAAUCCUCCAGGCUUCUAUAAAGGUGUGGAUCCCAGGCAAUGCUCAACCAAUUAUGGACCUGUGCAAGAUAAUUAUAGCUCUGCUGCCAUCUUCCGUGGUCCCUAAGGACCAUGUUUGCUCUUGAAUACAGUAAUUUCUAAAAUGGAUUUUGAAGAUAGUGAACAGCAGUUCUUUCUCCAAGUAUAAACCACCGGUAUACACUUUGGACUGUGUCUUGGGUUUCAGCUGCUCAUAAAAGGCUUUUGAUCUUGUCAGAGUAUCAAUAAUUGAUUUACUAUGAAGUUUCAGCAGAGGCUACAUGGGAAACAAGGGUUUCGACUUUCUCAUAAUCUCAAGUAAGUGAGCCUAGAAGGUGUUGUUCACAGAGAUUUGGGUCCAUCAUUCCAAUUACUGAAAGGUCAAUGACUUGAACAAUUAGACAAUCCAUUAGCCGCAGUCUAGGAAUAUAUAGAAAUAAACAUUAUUAAGGAGUGCUUUAGAAUAUAUGUACAUGUUAUACACACUCUUUUUAAUUCUACCAGCCCUGACAAGGCUGAUUCAUCAUCUCCCAAGAUCUGGGAAGCAGUAUUAGUAAAGCAGUCCAUAAGCUUGAC